UGCAUUGAUAACCUACCUUUAAGAUGAGGAUAACGACGUUUCGAGCAAUCGGAACUACCGAAAGGGUUGCUAAUACUCAAUAAUACUAUUGAUACUUCGGUAUUGAUAGUUAAAUGUUUGGAGCCGCAAGGUUCCAUUUGCUUAGAGAGGGGUCAAUGUCCUAUCAGUUAGUUGGUAGGGUAAUGGCCUACCAAGGCUAAGACGGGUAGCCGGCCUGAGAGGGUGGUCGGCCACACUGGGACUGAGACACUGCCCAGACUCCUACGGGAGGCUGCAGUCGAGAAUCUUUCGCAAUGCCCGAAAGGGUGACGAAGCGACGCCGCGUGUGGGAAGAAGGCCUUCGGGUUGUAAACCACUGUCGGGAGUUAAGAAAUGUAAGGGUGUUAAUAGCAUCCUUACUUGACUAAGGCUCCGGAGGAAGCCACGGCUAACUCUGUGCCAGCAGCCGCGGUAAUACAGAGGCGGCAAGCGUUGUUCGGAAUUAUUGGGCGUAAAGAGCACGUAGGCGGUUUUGUAAGUCAGUUGUGAAAGCCUUCUGCUCAACGGAAGAACAGCAUCUGAUACUGCAAGGCUAGAGUACGGAAGGGGAGAGUGGAACUUCUGGUGGAGCGGUGAAAUGCGUAGAUAUCAGAAGGAACACCGGCGGCGAAGGCGACUCUCUGGUCCGUAACUGACGCUGAGUGUGCGAAAGCUAGGGGAGCAAACGGGAUUAGAUACCCCGGUAGUCCUAGCCGUAAACGAUGGGCACU
Molecule: ribosomal RNA, 749 nt
Filed under: uncultured bacterium
Lineage: Bacteria
Description: bacterial SSU rRNA
Rfam family: Bacterial small subunit ribosomal RNA
Source: RNAcentral